UCCGUAGGCGGUCGACUAAGUCAGAGGUGAAAUCCCACAGCUUAACUGUGGAACUGCCUUUGAUACUGGUUGUCUUGAGUUAUAGUGAAGUAGAUAGAAUAUGUAGUGUAGCGGUGAAAUGCUUAGAUAUUACAUAGAAUACCGAUUGCGAAGGCAGUCUACUAACUAUAUACUGACGCUAAUGGACGAAAGCGUGGGGAGCGAACAGGAUUAGAUACCCUGGUAGUCC
RNAcentral lists this ribosomal RNA (229 nucleotides) under uncultured bacterium. Its description in RNAcentral is "partial 16S ribosomal RNA". It matches the Rfam family "Bacterial small subunit ribosomal RNA", at positions 568 to 796 of the family's 1533-position model. The record is from RNAcentral.